RNAcentral lists this ribosomal RNA (305 nucleotides) under uncultured bacterium. RNAcentral describes it as "partial 16S ribosomal RNA". It matches the Rfam family "Bacterial small subunit ribosomal RNA", at positions 508 to 807 of the family's 1533-position model. The record is from RNAcentral.
ACAGCAGUCGCCGCGGUAAUACGAAGGGUGCAAGCGUUACUCGGAAUUACUGGGCGUAAAGCGUGCGUAGGUGGUGGUUUAAGUCCGUUGUGAAAGCCCUGGGCUCAACCUGGGAAUUGCAGUGGAUACUGGGUCACUAGAGUGUGGUAGAGGAUAGUGGAAUUUCCGGUGUAGCAGUGAAAUGCGUAGAGAUCGGAAGGAACAUCUGUGGCGAAGGCGACUAUCUGGGCCAACACUGACACUGAGGCACGAAAGCGUGGGGAGCAAACAGGAUUAGAUACCCGUGUAGUCCCUGUCUCUUAUAC